CCGUAACUAUAACGGUCCUAAGGUAGCGAAAUUCCUUGUCGGGUAAGUUCCGACCCGCACGAAAGGCGUAAUGAUUUGAGCGCUGUCUCGACAAUGCACCCGGUGAAAUUGAAGUACCAGUGAAGAUGCUGGUUACCUGCGCCAGGACGGAAAGACCCCAUGGAGCUUUACUCCAGCUUGAUACUGGGAUCCGAUGCUGUAUGUACAGGAUAGGUGGGAGGCUAAGAAGCGGUGACGCCAGUUGCCGCAGAGCCGAUGUUGGGAUACCACCCUUGCAGUAUUGGAUUUCUAACCAGCUGCCGUGACCCGGCAGUGGGACAAUGUCUGGCGGGGAGUUUGACUGGGGCGGUCGCCUCCGAAAGGGUAUCGGAGGCGCUCAAAGGUUCCCUCAGAAUGGUUGGAAACCAUUCGAAGAGUGCAAAGGCAGAAGGGAGCUUGACUGCGACACCGACGGGUGGAGCAGGUACGAAAGUAGGACUUAGUGAUCCGGUGGUAUAAAGUGGGAUUGCCAUCGCUCAACGGAUAAAAGCUACCCUGGGGAUAACAGGCUUAUCACUCCCAAGAGUUCACAUCGACGGAGUGGUUUGGCACCUCGAUGUCGGCUCAUCGCAUCCUGGGGCUGUAGCAGGUCCCAAGGGUUGGGCUGUUCGCCCAUUAAAGCGGUACGCGAGCUGGGUUCAGAACGUCGUGAGACAGUUCGGUCCCUAUCUGUCGUGGGCGAAGGAUAUUUGAAAGGAGCUGUCCCUAGUACGAGAGGACCGGGAUGGACGCACCUCUGGUGCACCAGUUGUCACGCCAGUGGCACAGCUGGGCAGCUAAGUGCGGAUCGGAUAAACGCUGAAAGCAUCUAAGCGUGAAGCCGUCCUUAAGAUAAGAUAUCCCACUUUUAAGUUAAGACCCCUUGUAGACUACGAGGUUGAUAGGUCUAAGGUGUAAGUUGUGUGAGCAAUUUAGCCAGCAGAUACUAAUCGGUCGAGGGCUUAAACCU
This 988-nucleotide ribosomal RNA is filed under the name human gut metagenome. RNAcentral's name for it is "bacterial LSU rRNA". It matches the Rfam family "Bacterial large subunit ribosomal RNA", at positions 1934 to 2925 of the family's 2925-position model. The record is from RNAcentral.